Molecule: long non-coding RNA, 708 nt
Organism: Octodon degus (degu)
Lineage: Eukaryota; Metazoa; Chordata; Mammalia; Rodentia; Octodontidae
Exons: 3
Source: RefSeq, a predicted model, not a curated record
UGAAGUGUGAUGACGUAGAUUAGCAUUGUUCUCUAUGAGUCUCCUGUGUUCAGAAGUGUGGGUUUUGGAAGGUGAUUGGACCAUGAUGUGGUGCUCUACCCACCAGGGGGUUCUUCCACUGCUAAGGUCCUGGCUGAAGACACUGGGCUGAGAGCCACCCAGUGGCCAGGGGCACGCGUGGGGGUGGUGUGUUCUCCUGACCUGGACUUGGAGUCUCAGCCGUGGACGCUCCAGCUUCAAUGAGUGCAGCCCAAGCUCCUGAUCCAGAAGCCUUUCUCCAGAAGUUUAAAAACAUCUCCCUCACUUGAUAAUUGGUAGAAGAAAAGGUGAGAAAUCUGGGACAUGAGGUCAGUUCAGUGCUUUGCCCGGGGCACAUGCCCUGUAGGGGGUGGGGUCACAAUUUGAAUGCAGGCAGGACCAACCUUCAAGGCCAGUGCCUCUGGCCCUCAGGAGCUCAGCGUUGCCUCUGUUCCCCUUCUGCGGUGCUGUGGCGACUCCUUCCCUGCAUCGCCAGCCCUGCCUCCUCUCUGGAGCUACAGCCCUGCAUCUGCAGCAAUCUGUCCACGUUCCCAUGAGGAGCCCUUUGGCAUCUGGCCACCACCUCUGAGACUGGGCUCAUGCUCCCCGCCGAAGUCUGGACUUAGUCAUUUCCGCUUUAAACCAUGACUACUCUUUUUUUUUUUUUUUUGGAGGAACCGGGGAUUGAAC